CUUCCCUUGGGAGUGGUGGAAAAUUGUCCAGAAGGAGCUCGAAGAGAAGCAAAUCCAGUGGAAAUAGAUUUUCUUUCUCCAGUUUCUCAGCAAAAUUCUUAGCAUUCAUUCUUGGAUGAACCCAAACCACCUUUAUCUCUAAACUUGUUAGUGACUGAAUGGAAUGCGGUGCUUCUGUCGGAACAUCUUUAAGAUAUGUACAGCCCUGGGGUGUCUGAAGUAGAGUCAGCUCUAUUCAAAGGCCAAAAUCUGAGAGGGAAAAUGGAAUAGAUAUCAAAAGGAAGCUCAAAUGAUUUUGCUGAAGUCAAGAUGCUGAAUAAGUGAAGGCAAUAGGAGUCCAAUUGUUUUUGCUUUUUAUCUGUAAACUGGACUGGAUCCUGAAUUCUUCUAGGUCUCCUGAAAUAUCUGGCUAUAAAUCUCCAAACUAGCAUUUUCAAUUUUUUUUCCAUCAUUUUCAUUUGGAAUCUUGAGAGCUGAAACCACCCUUGUUCCUGAAGCCCUGAAAACUGCUUCUGGACAACUUGAUACAAACUUCAGAGAGAUUCAUGUCUGUUGCUGUGUAAGCCACUCAGAAAGAUACCUCAACAGCAGACGACAUCAUCAGAGACAUUUCAAACUGCAAAGGAUCUAGAAAUCUUCUUGACAGGCUGCCUGCUGGACUCAGAAAAUACAUUAUAAUCUUCUCCAAUCAUUAACCUUGUUUUCUUUUUGUUUCUCUAGAAAUGCUUCUCCAUAAAUACCUGGUUACUUGCUUACAAAAUGUAGGCCUAACUUUGGGAAGCCACCUGCACCAUCAUCUUACUAAGAGAUUGGUUCAGUGAGAUAGAACCAUCUACAUUACCAGCAGAAAGAACCUAGAAAAGUCAUCACGCUGUAUCACUCAAGACUCAAGACUGAGGAAUGAAGAAUAAGAAGGAGGAAUUUGUAACUGCGGGCCCCCCAGGACAGUUCAAUUGAUCCCAUCUUUUCAAAAGAGUCAUUAAGAGUGGUUUAUCAAGAACUGAGACCCCCUGGGAAAUCUUUAAUCUUUACAAAGUCAAGUGCUCCAACUUGUGGCAAAAUUGCUGAAAACCUAAAGGUUCCAGAAGCUGUAAAAGUUUACAAAGAACUGCAGAAUUUUACCAAGCUUCUUUUGUGUCCUGAGACCUUGGCUUGAUGAUCAUCAGGUUGGGGGGUUGGUCCCAAAAAUAUGAGUGGACGAAAAUGCAGUUACACCCAAUUUUGUGGUCAGAGAUGGUUGGACAGAAAUGUAGGUUGCACUCCUUUUUGUGACUAAGAGUCACGCUAAACUGCUGUCAUCCUCAGGGAAUUGCACUGGCCAUUGGAAGGGACAUUCCAAUAAGAUAACAUCAUUUAAAAGUGCACUUAAAUGUAAAGACUUGAAAAUUCCAAAGUAGCUUUAUUGAAAGUUUUGUUGCAAAAUGAAAAAAUUAAGUUAUAAAAGGUACCUAAAAGAAAAGCCUAAGAGGUCAUGGCUUUAGGGACAUCCUGUAAUCUACCUUCUAAGGAGAGUCCAAAAUGAGACCCUCUCAGAGUUAAAGAGACUCAGAGAUUUUCUGGAAAACUGUUAUGUUGAACAUUACUGGAAUUGUUCAAUACUGCCAGAAAAAGUAAAAGACUACAUCCAUUAUAGGCAGAAAGAAGCUAGAGCAGUUGUCACCCUACAACCUUCAAGAUUGAACAGUGAACAACAGAAAGGGGGGAUUAGUAACCAGAGACCCUCCAGGACCAGUUCAACUGACCCAUCUGAUCCACAGAUUCCUCUCCUCAGGUCUCGGGUCUGUCAUUUGGAUCCAGUCAAGAACACCGCAUACCUCAGAGGAUGGAGAAGCUAUAAACUGCAGCUAAUCCAGGUUCCUGAAUACACAGUGAGGCUUCCUAGAGAAACAUCUACAUAAACGAAGAGGAGAGAAGUGAGCUUUUGUCUUUCCUGUCAAGAGGAGAACUGCACAUUCAAUGUAUUUGAAAGAUGCUCAUUGUUUGUCUUCAAGGGAUUAUAUGUUCAAACGACUCUGCAACUCUGAAGAACCCCAAGUGCUACUUACUAUGUCACAGCAUUUAGACCCACUUCAGCAUUUUCAUGACACAGCCUAACCUGUGUUUUUGGCAUAGAGCUCAUGGGGUGCUAGGACCAGCUCAUACUGGCUUGGGAGAGCUGAUUAUUACAUUUUCAACAACUUUCCGAACUGCGUGUUGUCACUUAGGUAGUUUAAAUUGGCAAUGAAGGGGAUAUUUGCAUUAAAUAACUUGGGAACUGCUAUGAAUCAAUCCUUCUAUUCUUUUUCCUAGAUGCAGUUGCUAAAUAUUUACCAGCAAUACUGCUGCAUAGAACUGAAAUAUUUUAUUUAUUACCUGGAUUUUACAAAGCCAAAGUCAAUCACUUCAUAUUUCUUUAUAUAUAACUAGUUUUCUUCUAUCUGUAUGGCUUAGAAUUUCUUGUUAGCCCUGGUGCAUCAGAUAGAACCGAAAUGUUUAUUUGAUCCGAGAGUGCAAUUUGGAGUGAUAAAAAGGAUAGCUACUUCCUGUGCAGACAAGAUGGUUUUGACUCAUCUCUCCCACUCCUCCCCACUAAGUCUAACUAUAAGCCCUGGAAAUAAUACAAAGGAGAAGUCUGAAAGGUGAAAAGCAGAGGCCAACAGGUUUUGGAUCUCAGAAAUGGUGGAACAAUGUAGUACCCUAUGUUUCAUGAUGCUCGACCAAACGGAAAAAGAAUACUCAGCCCAGUGUUUCCCAGCCUCCAUCUUAGCAACAGAGGAUGGCUCAGGUAAACCAUCCUUACCUACCUUAACCCUCUGACAACACCAGGGAAACCCAUUACCACCAACAAGGGGGAUUGAUUGAUGUGGGGUCCUACCAAUAAUACAUGACCAGGGAAAGCCCACCUUCCCUGCCAGCCCUGAGACUCCCUUUCUCAAUCAAAGAUACUAAAAAUCAAAUUCCCCUGAAACUGAUUUGUAGGUUUUAAUGCAACUCCUGUCAAAAUCCCAGCAAGGUCUUUUGUAGACAUAGCCAAGCUUAUUCUAAAAUUUACAUGGAAAGGCGAAGGCCCUAGAACAGUUGAAAUCAUUUGAAAAAGAUGAAUAAAGUAAGAGGCAUUAUGCUGUCUUAUAUGAAGUCCUGCAUUAGUCCCAUAAUAAUCAAGACAGUGCGGUAUUGGUGGAGGGAUACCUUUUGCUCAGUGGAACGCAAUAGUGAGCCCAGAAGUAGACCCACACAACUCACACUUCAACUGAUUGUUUACAAAGUUGCAAAAGCAAUUUAAUGGAGGAAAGAUAGCUUCAAUAAAUGGUGCUAAGGCAAUUGGACAUCCAUCCAUAGGGGGAAAAAAGCCUUAACUACAAAUCUUGUACAAAAAUUAACUCAAAGUUGAUCAUCAACUCAAACGUAAAAGUGUUAUUUUUUAAGAAAAAUACAGGAAAAAAAUUUUGGAAUCAAGGGCUAGACUUAUUAGACUUGACCACAAAACCACAAAAAUAUGAUCUAUUAAGGGAAAAAUUGAUAAUAUAACCUCAUGAAAAUUAAAAGCUUUUGCUAUUUGAAAUCUUAUUUGAAGACAAUGGAAAGACAAACUACAUACUGGGAGAAAAUAUUUGCAAACUCCACAUCCAAUACAGGACUUGUAUCUAAAAAAAAAAAAAAAAAAACACCCUCACGACCCAAUAAUAAAGUAAAAAUCCACAAAUAGGUGGAGCAAAGAGAGUUUCUUGGGCAGUGAAACUACUCUGUAUGAUACCAUAAUGAUGAAUACAUACCUUUAUUUUACCCGCUACAAACAUAGGUUCUUUACCCGCCACACAAGAGGGGCCAAAUAAAAACUGGAACACCAGUUAUACAUCAAACAAGUUCAGAGAUGCUGAUGUUAUCUAUGUGUGGAGGGAGGAAAGGACCAGGAUCGUUAAUUAGUCCUUCAGUCUCUAAGAAAGGUAGCUGGGAAUUGUGAGAGCGAGGUAUCACUUUUUCUCUUCCUGUUGUGGAUCUUUCUAGCUGGCAUCUUUGGUCACGAGAUGUAGGGUUGCAAGGCUGUGCGUUUGGCACAGGGUGAAGCUGGCCCGCAUGGCCGCUUCACAGUACAGCUGCUUCAGAGGACAGCAUGGAUUUUAUUGCGCUGACUUAAAGCCUAUGCAGUUUGCUUGCUAGAUACGCCUGUUAGACCAGGGAGAAGGGUCCCAAAAAUUUGUCCAGUACCACACUACUGCAAGGUGCUAAUAAUGGGGGGAAAUGUGUGCAGGAGGAGAGGGGUCUAUGGGAACUUUCUACUUUCUGCACAAUUUUUCGGUAAACCUAAUGGUGCACUAGAGAAUAAAGUCUAUUAAUUGUUUUUAAAGGGCGAGAAAAUAAAUCUACUAUGUCAGCUAGAUUUCCUCAUGUCACCAUGGACAUAGGGAAAAUCCUUCCAGAUUUGGCAUUUGGAAAAUUCUGUGUUAAACCAAAGGCAGCUCCUAUGGAGGCAACUACGUUCUGUCAAGACUUUUGGGAGAGCUGACUAUCAAAUCAGACUCAGUAAUCCUGCUGACCACUCCCUGAGCCACAAUGAUCAGAAUCACUGAAGCCCCAGGCAUUGCUCUGGAUCAACGCACCUGACACCUGCCCCCCCCCCCCCCACUCUCUAAGGACAAUCAGGAGGCCACAGAAAGGACCGUGACAAUGUUUCACAGGCUCAACUUCAGAAGAGAGAUCAUUUGCUCCCCACUAUACCCAGCAAGCAACCUGACCAACAUCUGCUUUGAAUGCCUGGCUUACUUCUGGCAGAACUCUAUAUCUGUGGUUUUAGUUGCACCUAGCACGCUAAGAAUAUGGUUCAAUGUUGUAUCUUACAAUACAAAUGGAAGUCCUUGAUCCUGGUCAGAAUCAUGAAGCCCUUAAGAGUUGAAUGAAAACGUAACUGGCCCAGUCGUUUGCUGGCUUUCACAUUUGCACAGUGGCUCUUGCAGUUUGAAUCUUGACUUACCUCAAACUUCUUGAAGGAAAAGGAUUGCAAUUGGUAUUAAGAUCACUCCAAUGAACCACUGGUGACAAAAGGCACACUUAGUUUAAUAAGGCUUGAAAUAUGAUCGGAAUGUUUGAAAGACUUGAGGAAUACGCAUUAAUGUUAAAAAGUAUACGCUUGGUGAACUCUCGAUUUUGGGUGGCUAAACUCAUUAAAGUUAGUAAGGUAUUCUCAUUGUUUUCCAAGGCAUAAAAUAAUCUCUUUUAAAAAUUAUUUUGGAAUUUAUAAUAGACUGUUCUAAAUACAACAGUAAUAUUUAUUUUAACAUUGGGAGCCUAGUAAGGUAAAAGUCAAAAUAUAAUGCUCAUGUUCAAUUUUAUGAUUUAUACUUAUAUCACAAUUCUGAAAUGGUUAUUGCGAUAUCCCUAAGGAUAAGGAAUUAAUAAAUCUGUUUCUUCAAGUUAACGGUUUAAGCAUUUCAUCCAGAGGGAAUGUUUAUUUUUUCUUUCACAUUUUUCAAGUCAAACUAGAUAUUUUCUUCCUUAAAGAUGAAGUUCACUCAUUAAUAUUCUGAGUCAUUCUUUACCCAUAAACAGUAAUUUGGAUGAGAAGCAUUAAGUGGAACAGAGUCCAAAAGGCAAUAAUAUAAGCGUUAACAAACAAACCAAAAAUCUCUACCUGACGAGAAUACCAUCUCUGCAUUUGGUUUUCUGGACAAAGAGACAAAAGAUCAAUGUUAGGAAUUCUUCCAUUUACCAUAACCUACCAAACAAAAUUAUAUAAAAGAAAUGAGUUGAGGUAAAUGCAUAUUCAUUCCUUUGCUUACUUCAUCUUUUAGAAUGCAAAUUUGUAACAGUCUGGCAAUAAAGGGAAGAAAAGAUUUGGAGGAUAAUAAUGCAAAUUUAUGUUGAAAUAUAAUAUCAACUUCAGAAUUUUCAUAUUUUUUUGUGUGUCAUAAAUAUAGCCUUGAUAAAACUAACACCUUAGUACCAACUUAGUCUUUUUACUUGUUUUCUUUGGAAAAGGGUGUGGGAAUGGUUUCUUCAAAGUCUAAUACAACCCCUCCCCUGAUUGUAAUUGAAAUAGAAAAAGCUUAUUCAUGAAGGACAUUGGGGGCUCUUAUGGGCUCGGUUGUGCACCCCCCCUUUCCUAUGUUGUAGCCCUAAUCCCCCAGGACCACAGAAUGCAACUGUAUUUGGAGAUGGGAUCUUUAAAGAGGUGAUUAAGGUAAAAUGAGUUCAUUAGGGUGGAUCCUAAUCCAAUAGGACUAGUGUCCUUAUGAGAAGAGGAGAUGAGGACACAGACAUGCACAGAGGAAGAACCAUGGGAGGACACAGGGAGAAGAUGGCCAUCUCCACAACAAGGAGAGAAGCCUCAGGAGAAAUCAACCCUGAUGAAGCCUUGGUCUCCGACUUCCAGCCUCCGGAACUGUGAGAAAUAAAUGUUCACUGUGUAAGGCCCCCAGUCUGUGGUACUUUGUUAUGGCAGCCCUAGCAAAAUAAUACAGUGGCAGCUGUCCCCGGUCCUUGAUCAUAAAUAUUAUAUGCAUUCAUAUUCAGGAUGGUUAUUGAUUAAGAGAGGAAGAAGUCAUAGUCUAAUGUAGAAAUUAUUUCAGAGGCACAAAUAGAACCACUAGUCAUACUAGUCAUUUCCACUACAGAGAUUUUACCUCUACUGGAGAAUGCAUCUCAUUUUCUAGGCUACUGAUUCUCUUUCAUCAUAUUGGAGGGUAUUCAUGAGAUCUUUUGAGGGUCCGGUCCCUUCUGCUCUUUCACAGCAAGAUUCUUGAUUGGACUCUGCUUGUCCAUUUAUGAAACACUCCUCCACCUCUCCUGGAUUUCUGCCUCUCAAAUAAGAUGCUUUGAAAUUGUGUUCCUUCCUCUGAAGAUAGACGGUGGCUUUUUUGUUUGUUGUUUUGGGUUUUAUUUGUUUAUUUGACUUUUAAUUAAAUAAUUCUGAGAAAAUUGUAGAUUCACAUACAGUUGCAAGAAAUAAUGUGCAGUCAUGUGUCGUUUAAUGAUGGGAUAGGUACUGAGAAAUAUGUCAUUAGGGGAUUUCAUCGUUGUGUAAACAUCAUAGAGCGCACUUACACAAACCUACAUGGUAUAGCCUACUACACACCUAGGCUCUAUGGUACUAAUCUUAUGGGACCACCAUCUUCAUGUGGCCCAUAGUUGACCAAAACAUUGUGAUUCAGUGAAUGACUAUGGAGAGAUCUCCUGUAUGCUUUCUCCAGUUUCCCCCAUGGUAGCAUAUUGGUAAAUUAUAGUAUAAUAUAUGAUACUCAAAUGUCUUGUUCAUCAUUCAUGUUGUGAACACCAGGAUAUAGAUAUUCAUUCAGUCAAGAUACAGACUGUCUCCAUCACAAGGACUUUCAUGCUGCUCUUUUAUAGCCACAUCCACUUUCCUGACCUUCCCACCCCCUCCUAAACCCCUGGAAACCACUAAUCUGUUCUCCAUGUCCAUAAUUAUUUUUCAUCUCAAGAAUAUAAUAUAACUGGAAUUGAGCAGUAUGUAAUCUUUUCAGAUUGACUUUAUCCAGUCAGUAAUUCCCUUGAGAUUCAUCCAUGUUGAUGGAAGUAUCAAUAGUUCAUUUCUUUUUAUUGCUGAAUGUUAUCACAUUAUAUCGAUGUACCAUAACUGUUUCACCAUUCACUUGCUGAAGAACUUAGCAGUGUUUCCAGUUUGGGGCUAUGCGAAUGAAGAUACUAGGCAUAUUUGUGUAUGAGAUUUUGAGUAGCCAUUGUCAGGAAGGGGAAAGUCCCCCCUUCUACCCUUCUUAUGUUUUUAUGGCUGGACUAACAAUAAAAUUGACACAAGACCAGAUUAACAGGAGAAAACCCACUUUAAUAUGUGUGGAUUGGGGAUCAUAGAGAAAUGAUGUUUGGAAACUGAACAAAGCAGAAAAUACAUGUAUCUUUUACACAAAGAAACAACAAGUUUGUAAGGAAUGGCAGGAGAAAGAAACCUAGGUUUGAGGUUUGUAAUUAGAAAGGAAUUCAAGCAGAGUUUAGGCUUUAGGUAGUAAAUUAAUCAGGUUUGUUUAUAUACGCACCAUGGCCCUGAAUUUCCCAGCUCUGGUGAGAAGGAGGCAGGAAGAACACUUUCACAUGGGAGAUUUAUUUCCUGCUUUCAAGGGGAACGGAGAAUUGGGUCAAAAUACCUUUUUU
This is a long non-coding RNA of Equus caballus (horse), 8097 nucleotides long. The record is from Ensembl. Lineage: Eukaryota; Metazoa; Chordata; Mammalia; Perissodactyla; Equidae.